GACGAACGCUGGCGGCGUGCUUAACACAUGCAAGUCGAACGAUGAAGCUGGAGCUUGCUCUGGCGGAUUAGUGGCGAACGGGUGAGUAACACGUGAGAAAUCUGCCCUUGACUCUGGGAUAACUGCGGGAAACUGUAGCUAAUACCGGAUACUUUCCCUGGUGGGCAUCCACUGGGGAAGAAAGAAUUUCGGUCAAGGAUGAUCUCGCGGCCUAUCAGCUUGUUGGUGAGGUAAUGGCUCACCAAGGCGACGACGGGUAGCCGGCCUGAGAGGGUGGCCGGCCACACUGGGACUGAGACACGGCCCAGACUCCUACGGGAGGCAGCAGUGGGGAAUAUUGCGCAAUGGGCGCAAGCCUGAUGCAGCAACGCCGCGUGAGGGAUGAAGGCCUUCGGGUUGUAAACCUCUUUUAGCAGGGAAGAAGCGAAAGUGACGGUACCUGCAGAAAAAGCACCGGCUAACUACGUGCCAGCAGCCGCAGUAA
This 484-nucleotide ribosomal RNA is filed under the name uncultured bacterium. RNAcentral describes it as "partial 16S ribosomal RNA". It matches the Rfam family "Bacterial small subunit ribosomal RNA", at positions 28 to 523 of the family's 1533-position model. The record is from RNAcentral.